Molecule: long non-coding RNA, 1047 nt
Organism: Vombatus ursinus (common wombat)
Lineage: Eukaryota; Metazoa; Chordata; Mammalia; Diprotodontia; Vombatidae
Exons: 2
Source: RefSeq, a predicted model, not a curated record
UCCAUGCCUGCCCUGGAGAAGAAAGCCAUAAAGCCAGGGGAGGCUCGCAGUAAUAGCUGCUGCUAUUUCAGAAGCUCAAGGGUGAAAAUUUCAGGGACGCUGUGCAAUGGGAUGUAAUUUAUAGGGUACCUCGUGAACCUCAGGAGCUCAGGUUCCGGGGCUCUCCACUGUCCCAUCAGCUCACUUCAGUUCAGUCCAAUUAAGCAGACAGCCAUAAUUCCUAAGAACAAGGUUACUCAUGUUAUGAAGAUCCCUCCAAGAUGACAAAGCAUCCUCCUCACAACAGCCCAGCACAAUCCACCCUCAUUGUCCACAGGGAGAAACUGAGGCUUGGGUUUCCUCGCUAGUCAGUGGGGAAGAAGGUUCAGGGUGCCCGACUCCAAGCCUGGCGCCCUCGCCACGUUCCUACUCUGCCUUGACAACAUGUCAGCUUCUUUCUCCCGUCUUGCUGUCAGACAGGCCUGGGGAAGAAAGGGACGUAUUGUAGGCUUUAUUUUUUUCUUAAUGAGACACACAAAUCAGCAGCAGUCACUUUGUAGGAGACUUUCAAAGCUCUGGUGGUUUCAAAUCAAAGACGAGGCAGCGAGAACUUAGACUGUUUAAAUAGCAAGGUUAAGAAGAAAGAAAGAAAGAAAAGAAAGCAAUUCCCAAGGAGAAGAAGGUUAGAAAAGAGCCAAAUGUCCCCAAGCACAGAGGGCCAUUCAGGCCUUUGCCCUGCUUCUGCCUCAGCUCAGUGUUCUUCUGUGUGACAAGAGAAGAUGCCUGUUACAGACUCAUCGGCUGCUGGACUGUCCACGUGAAGAAGCCUUGGCCAUCACCUCUCGCCUUGCUCAGUGCCCGACAAUACGCUGUCUGCUGGUGGCAGAGUUGGGUCAUCCAGGCUCACUCACAACCCUCUCUAAAGGGUCAGCUGCCCUAAAGCAUGCCUCACAGGCAGCCCUCCAACCUGAGCUGGCAGACCUCCAGGGAGGGGGACAGAGCCCACUGCUCUCGUUGUGAGGGACUUUGUCCUGACAUCAGAAAUAAAUGAAAUCUUUGCAACUGGCA